UACGUAGGGGGCGAGCGUUGUCUGGAAUUAUUGGGCGUAAAGAGCUCGUAGGCGGUUCGGCAAGUCACGUGUGAAAUCUCCACGCUCAACGUGGAGGCGCCACGUGAGACUGCUGUGACUCGAGUCCGGUAGGGGAGCGUGGAAUUCCCGGUGUAGCGGUGAAAUGCGCAGAGAUCGGGAGGAACACCCGUAGCGAAGGCGGCGCUCUGGGCCGGUACUGACGCUGAGGAGCGAAAGCGUGGGGAGCAAACAGG
Molecule: ribosomal RNA, 254 nt
Filed under: uncultured bacterium
Lineage: Bacteria
Description: partial 16S ribosomal RNA
Rfam family: Bacterial small subunit ribosomal RNA
Source: RNAcentral